This is a long non-coding RNA of Oreochromis niloticus (Nile tilapia), 278 nucleotides long. RefSeq lists it as uncharacterized. Lineage: Eukaryota; Metazoa; Chordata; Actinopteri; Cichliformes; Cichlidae. The transcript has 3 exons. The record is from RefSeq and is a predicted model, not a curated record.
CAAAGAUGCAGGUGAGGGACUGCUGGCAGUGCAGAUCACUGACCCAGACGGGAAGCCCAAGAAGCAAAUAUCUGUGACAACCAUGAUGGGACCUACCUGGUGUCUUAUGUGCCAGACAUGACUGACAGCUGCUCAGUCCAUCCAGACUCCUCUCCAUAUGCAGCAGUGAUGCCGGCUCUCUCCAAGUGAUUCCUUCAUCAUCAACAUCUGCAUCCACGAUCCACCAGCUCAACAGCAACAUCUGUCAGCUGUGCAUCCAACUGGAGGCCUUCGCCUGC